This 628-nucleotide ribosomal RNA is filed under the name uncultured bacterium. RNAcentral's name for it is "bacterial SSU rRNA". It matches the Rfam family "Bacterial small subunit ribosomal RNA", at positions 56 to 731 of the family's 1533-position model. The record is from RNAcentral.
UGCAGUCGAGCGCACUCUUCGGAGUGAGCGGCGGACGGGUUAGUAACGCGUGGGAACGUACCCAGAUCUACGGAAUAGCCUCGGGAAACUGAGAGUAAUACCGUAUACGCCCUUCGGGGGAAAGAUUUAUCGGAUUUGGAUCGGCCCGCGUUAGAUUAGAUAGUUGGUGAGGUAACGGCUCACCAAGUCUACGAUCUAUAGCUGGUUUUAGAGGAUGAUCAGCAACACUGGGACUGAGACACGGCCCAGACUCCUACGGGAGGCAGCAGUGGGGAAUCUUGGACAAUGGGCGCAAGCCUGAUCCAGCCAUGCCGCGUGAGUGAUGAAGGCCUUAGGGUCGUAAAGCUCUUUCGCCAGAGAUGAUAAUGACAGUAUCUGGUAAAGAAACCCCGGCUAACUCCGUGCCAGCAGCCGCGGUAAUACGGAGGGGGUUAGCGUUGUUCGGAAUUACUGGGCGUAAAGCGCGCGUAGGCGGACCAGAAAGUUAGGGGUGAAAUCCCGGGGCUCAACCCCGGAACUGCCUCUAAAACUCCUGAUCUAGAGUUCGAGAGAGGUGAGUGGAAUUCCGAGUGUAGAGGUGAAAUUCGUAGAUAUUCGGAGGAACACCAGUGGCGAAGGCGGCUCACUG